Molecule: non-coding RNA, 103 nt
Filed under: Schnuerera ultunensis
Lineage: Bacteria; Bacillati; Bacillota; Tissierellia; Tissierellales; Tepidimicrobiaceae
Also listed under: 1 other name
Description: Clostridium ultunense SAM-I sequence
Rfam family: SAM riboswitch aptamer (S box leader)
About the family: The SAM riboswitch is found upstream of a number of genes which code for proteins involved in methionine or cysteine biosynthesis in Gram-positive bacteria. The SAM riboswitch acts at the level of transcription termination control. The predicted structure consists of a complex stem-loop region followed by a single stem loop terminator region.
Source: RNAcentral
GCCUUAUCAAGAGAGGUGGAGGGAAUGGGCCCUAUGAAACCCGGCAACCUGUAUUAUACAAAGGUGCUAAAUCCCACAGAAUUUGGAUUCUGAAAGAUGAGGU